CGUUAAAAUUUUUAUUCAUUUGUACUGUUAAAAACUAACUUGGUUGAUGAAAUAAUUAGACAAUGACAUGUGACGUGCUACAUGUACCUCAUUUUGACGUACAUGAACUAAUUUUUAAUAACAAAAAUGAAUGAACUUUUUAACA
Gossypium raimondii (Peruvian cotton) is the source of this 145-nucleotide non-coding RNA. Lineage: Eukaryota; Viridiplantae; Streptophyta; Magnoliopsida; Malvales; Malvaceae. The record is from Rfam.